RNAcentral lists this long non-coding RNA (3482 nucleotides) under Sus scrofa (pig). RNAcentral describes it as "lncRNA (ENSSSCG00035037567.1)". The record is from RNAcentral. Lineage: Eukaryota; Metazoa; Chordata; Mammalia; Artiodactyla; Suidae.
GGCAGAGGGUGGGAGGAGACGGGCUGGCCGAGGGGCAGAGAAAAGGCAGGAAGGAAGCUGAUAUAAAAAAAAAAAAAUCUAUCUUGAGAAACAAUUCCUCUCCAUCUUUAAACCUAUGAAACUCAAAAAAUAAAAUCUGCUCUUGAAAUCUAAUGAUUAGACAGGCAUAGAAUACCAGUUAUAGACAUUCUGGCUAAAAGGGGAGAAAAUUUAAAGGAAAAAAGAAGUCACUAGUUCAAAAUAUUUUCAAAAUUCAGCUGUUUAAACUUCCUUUGUAUUACAUAAAAUUAAUUAUUAUUAUAUAAAUAUUAUUUUAUUUAAUGAUGGGAUUAUAGUAUUUCUUUGUGUGUGUAAUAAAACUUGAAACAACCUUACAAUAAAUUUAAUUGCUUAAUCCUUACCUUCCUCCGAGUUAACCUGACAAGUAAACUUUGAUUGUUUUUUUCUAUAAGUAUUUUAGACAUUAAGUUGCCACAUAUUACAUGUUUAUUUUGGUUUAGCUGUGUGUUCCUGGGAUCAAUCUAGCACCAGCUUUCUUUACUGAUAUCUGACUAAAUAUUCUCAGAAUUGGAUACCUUUUUUUUUUUUUUUUUUUUUUUUUUUUGUCUUUUUAGGCCACAGGCUGGGGUCGAAUCGGAGCUGUUGCUGCUGGCCUACGCUAGAGCCACAGCAAGGCCAGAUCUAGCCAUGUCACGGCAACACCUGAUCCUUAAACCUACUGAGCAUGGCCAGGGAUUGAACCCUCAAUCUCAUGGUUCUAGUUGGAUUCGUUUCCUCUGUGCCACGACAGGAACUCCAGAAUUGGAUACCUUUAAUAUCUUCAUGGAAACUUCAUUUUGGCCUUUUGUCAAGGUCCUUAGGCAUUUGUCUACCUUGAGAGUUCCAGAAGCAACAACAUUGACAUUAACCCAUAUGGGGACCUUAGUUGAGGAGGAGGUGGCAGUACAGCAGUGGGAAGAGGACAGAUCUGUUAAUUUUUGCAUCUAUAGUUCUAUUUUUGGUAGUUUACUUAGAAAGUCACCUCCUAUCUGACUUUAUAAUGUCUUGUCCUAUUGUUUUAAUCACAGUACUAUUAAGACCUUAUUCUUAACUUUAUGUUUUUUUAAUUCAGUGAAUUUUAUGUUUAUAGUUGUAUAAUCACUAUCACAACCUAAUUUUAGAACAUUUCCAUCUGAAACUCCCAGUCCAUCUCUCCCCCUCAGUCUUUCCCCUUUAGUAAGCACAAGUUUUUCAAAGUCUGUGGAUCUGUUUCUUUUCUGCAAAUAGGUAUUUUUUUUUUUUUUUUGGUCUUUGCUAGGGCCGCACCCAUGGCAUGUGGAGGUUCCCAGGCUAGGGGUCUAAUUGGAGCUGUAGCCACCAGCCUAUGGCACAGCCACAGCGAUGAGGGAUCUGAGCCACAUCUGCAACCUACACCACAGCUCAUGGGAACGCCGGAUCCUUAACCCACUGAGUGAGGCCAGGGGCUGAAUCCUCAACUUCAUGGUUCCUAGUUGCAUUUGUUAACCACUGAGCCAUGACAGGAACUACUCAUUUUAGAUUCCACAUAUAAGUGUUUUAGCAUGUGAUGUUUGUCUCUCAUUGUCUGACUAACUUCACUUUAGCAUUAUAAUUUUUAGGCCCAUACAUGUUGCUAUAAAUGCCAUUAUUUCAUUCUUUUUUAUGGCUGAGUAAUAUGCCAUGGUAUAUAUGUAUCUCAUCUUCCUUAUCCACUCCUCUUUCGAUGGAAAUUUAGCUUUCUUCCAUUUCUUGGCUAUUGUGUACAGCACUACAAUGAACAUUGAGAUAUAUGUAUCUUUUUGAGUGAUGGUUUCCUCCAGAUAGAUGCCCAGGAGUGGGAUCAUAUGGUAGUUCUAUUUUUAGUUUUUUGAGGAACCCCCAUACUAUUUUCCAUAUUGGUUGUACCAUUUUACAUCCCUACAAACAGUGUAGGAGGGUUUCCUUUUCUCCACACCCUCUCCAGCAUUUUUUGUUUGUAGACUUUUUGAUGAUGGCCAUUCUGGCUGACCUCAUUGUAGUUUUGACUGAUAUUUCUAAAAUAAUUAGUGAUAUUGAGCACCAUUUCACGUUUUUUUUUUUUUUUUUUUUUGGUGGGGGGCAUCCCUAUACCUUCUUUGGAGAAAUGUCUGUUUAUAUCUGCCCAUUUUUUAAUUUUUUUUUUCAUAUUGAGAUGCAGGACAUGUUUUUAUAUUUUGGAGAUUAAUCCCUUGUGAGGCACUUCAUUUGCAAAUAUUUUCUCCCAUUCUGUGAGUUGUCUUUUUGUUGAGGGUUUCCUUUGCUGUGCAAAAACUUUUAAGUUUAUAUUUUAACUUUAUAUUUUAUUUCAUCAGGAAUUAAUUUUAUUAUAUACUGUCUACCAAUAUCAUUUAUUAAAAAUUCCAUUGGUUUGCUAACUGAUCUGAGAUACUUCCUAUAUCAUGCAUUUAAUACAUGUUCUUGGGCGUGUUUCUGAUUUUUAUAUGUUGUUAUACUGAUGCUUAUGUCAGUAUCAUACUGUUUUAAUUACUAUGUCUUUAGGAUAUAAGUUAAUAUUUUAUACAGCUACGCCCUCAAAUUAUCCUUCCGGUAAUGUUUUUGCAAUUCUCAUAUUUUUCUCCUGUUGUUCUCCAAAUUAACUUAUGUAUCAUUUUGCAAAAUUCUGAAGAAAAAUCCCUUUGGUGUUUUGGAUAGCUUAUACAAAUGUGUUGAUUAACUCUGGGAAAAAUGUAUCUCUUUAUGUUACUAGCUCCUUUAAUUCAGUACUGUAAUAAGAUGCUACACAUCAUAUUUGAGCCUUAAUUUACUAUCUUAUUAAAGCUUUUAAUUUUCUGUGUUUGUCAGUAUUGAAAUUAGUUAUCUUUCUCUCUGUAUGUCAUACUUUUCUUUGUUAUUUUGAAUAAUUUUUUUUCUUUCUGACAGAGUCUAAAUUUAAAUUGCUAUUGAGCUGUUAAUUCUUGAUUAUUUUUUGACUCUCUUUUACUCAUUAUAUAAUUGUUGUAAUAUUUCAGAUGAUUCAGGUGAUUAUUUUAGGCUUUCCAAGUAAAAAGUAUAUGAUAUAUAAGGGUAGUUCAGCAUUUGUCUCUUUGUUUUAAAUAACUGUAGCCAUAAAGCGUUCUUAUUUUAUGAAAAUUAAGUAGAAUAUUUGUGUUUAUUAAUAGAAGUGACUCCAGAGUUUCAUAAUUAAAAUUUUGUUUUUGGGGGGUUCUCAUUGCAGCUUAGCAGGUUAUAAACCCUAUUAGUAUCCAUGAGAAUGUGGGUUCAAUUCUUGGCCUUGCUUAGUGGGUUAAAGAUCCGGCAUUGCCUUGAGCUGUAGUGAAGGUCGCAGAUGCAGAUAGGAUCUGGUGUUGCUGUGGCUGUGGUAAAGGCUGACAGCUGGAGCCUGGAAUCAAUCCAUAGGCCAGGAACUUCCAUAUGCUGCAAGUGCAGCCCUCAAGAGCAAAAUACAUACACACAUACAUAAAUAUUAAAAAAAUAAAACUGUGUUUCUGUGUUAAGAUAGUUUUUUU